UGGUGGAGUGAUUUGUCUGGUUAAUUCCGUUAACGAACGAGACCUUAACCUACUAAAUAGUUACGCAAACAUUUUGUUUGCGGACAACUUCUUAGAGGGACUAUUCGUGCUAGUGAAUGGAAGUUUGAGGCAAUAACA
RNAcentral lists this ribosomal RNA (138 nucleotides) under uncultured eukaryote. Its description in RNAcentral is "partial 18S ribosomal RNA". It matches the Rfam family "Eukaryotic small subunit ribosomal RNA", at positions 1299 to 1458 of the family's 1831-position model. The record is from RNAcentral.